Molecule: long non-coding RNA, 16917 nt
Filed under: Ooceraea biroi (clonal raider ant)
Lineage: Eukaryota; Metazoa; Arthropoda; Insecta; Hymenoptera; Formicidae
Description: uncharacterized LOC105282578, transcript variant X2
Source: RNAcentral
CUUUCCUGGACCUUCGUCUCUCCCUUUCGCUGUCUUCGUUCCGUGUGCAAAGCAGCCUCGCAUGAGAGCGCGGCACAAUGGAGGUAUUAAAUGGAUGUAAGGUAGUGGGUAAAAGCGCGGCGCUCUGACCAGAAACGUAUAUACGCGAGUAUCUCGGGCAACGCGUCACGAAAAUGAAAGUGCUUCGCAAAUAUUGGUUGCCGUCGACCUUACUGCGGUCUCGAGAGGAGAGAGAGAGCCGGGAGAAAGGAAGCGGGAGAAAAAAACCAAAUCCUGUGUACAUAUUAGGCGCGCCGGUCUCGAGCACUUUUCAGAGAGCUUUCUUCCCUUCGGCGGACCCGUCUGACCGCUCGAGCGAGAGACCGCAGAGAUGCAUUUCGGGAGACAGGUGCGACGCUUCGGAAAACGGCAUGCUGCACCGCGGAAAAGCAAAAGCCGGCUGCGGCAAUCGGUUACCUGACUCGGCUCAGAACAUUAACAAACAGACAUUUCGAUACAUCUAUCAAGCUGUCAUAAUAAGUUUGUGUGAUCCAAGAAGAGUCUCCUGAUGAAGAAAAAGUCAUAAUUUCACAAUCACCAUUUCGACUUUGUAUAGGCAUUAUGGAUGAAAUCCUUCGCAUCUCUUAUGAGCAGCAGCGGUACCUGUCGGCAUCCCCUUUCGAGAGGACCCACUAAUCGCCGAACCGUUUGAAGAUGGAUGUAUGACCAUUCAAGAGGAGCAGGUGUAGGAUUUUCGAGCAGCGUUUUGAAUUUGCUGAAAACUCGCGGACAGUGGCGUAGGUUGAAUUUGAACGGGAAUGAUUGCGCGUGAAGGGGAUGAUCAUGCUCGAGAAGCCUCGCGGCUAGAUGAUUAAAUGAAAUUUGCUAGCUCAAUCAUAUAUGCUAGCUGAAUCGCGUAUGUAUUAUGCAAAAGCGAUGAACAUGGAGAAUGCUUUUGACAUAAUUCGAGAUACCUCGCACACGAUAAGAAUUUCUCUCGUAACGUCUCGUACAAACGGUUUUGUUACAAGCUGACUGUAGAUAGCUCGAUAGAUUAUUGUUAUCCCACUCGUCGGUAAGUCACUGAUCCUACGAAACGAUCUACUCGGAACGGAUUAUCGUAUGUUAAUAAGCCCCGGGAACCCGAAAGCCCGGCUACGCCUAAUUUGCGAGGUAAUCGCGAUCUUUACUCGCACAAUACGAAAUUCUCAACGGUCAUCGAUCAUCAUUAUUUAUCGCCGUUCGCCAAAUUCGUAUCGCGCGCACGUACGCACGUCGACGCUCCGCUACGUGCGCGAGUGCGUGUGAGUCGACGACGAGCGCGUACACGCACUCUCACGCCACGCCGGGCCCAAUCCAUUUCGCUUCAUUACGGCGCUCCUCUCGCGAGAAGCCGAGGCUCUUCUUCCUGACCCUGCCUUGAACUAUGAUUGGACACGUUACAUCGAUCCUCGUCGAUCCUCGUCGAUCCUGAUCCGAGGCGUCUCGCGCUCGCGCGCGUAAACGCUUCGCCGGGCCUCUUCUCACCUUCGUCAAUCGCGCCUGACGAUAUCGCCUCGUAUCGGCCCGUGGCCUUUCCGCGGGCAAAAUAGAAGAAUACAAGAGAAGACGGGAUGAGACGCGCACGUCGGUCGGUUGGUCGGUUGGUCGGUAGAUCGGUCGGUCGAUCGAUCGAUCGACCCAACCGCUAUUCGACCAAGCAGUUGUACGAGCACGCCUCGGCACCUGCGGACUUGCGCGCGAGAGAAACGCUUCGCAGUGCGCUACCCGCGAUGCCCGAAGGAUCCAUUAGCCAUUAGCCGACGUUCAAGCCCGUCAACUUGUCAACGGCGGAACAAUGCGACCGCGAGAAUAGAAAUCGAUUUUUACGCUUCCCUUCUAUGAUGCCAUCGUUUCUCGACUUGCCUCGCGCUAUUCUCCUCGCGGCCGUGCGUCAUCGGGUCGCGAACUCCGCCACGCACGCAUGUUACGUAAGCGAUCUCCUAUCAAUACCCGCGAUUCCGAUGUCGAUUAACGUUAGCUCCCCGCGAAUUCUCAACCAAGGUUUACGUAAGAAGAGAUUUCCUUUCCUUUCCUGUCGCGUGAAAUAAAUACGAUCAUUUACGUAAGAAACGAAGCGCGAGGGGAUACUGACAGGUAAUAAUCCACGAUACCAAUCGUGCGACAUUAAUAAACUCGAAUGAACGCAAAGUGGGGACGAAAUAUAUUUUUUCUACGAGCUACGCUGCUGAUUUCGUUCCGGCAUUGGGAACUGGUGAUGUGCAGGCCCCGAGACAAUGGUUCCUGCCGUCAUCCUUCAUUGUUUCGGCUGCGUCUGGAAUCUUAAGAGACUACCCCAUUAUUAUACAUCCAUCCAGAGGGACCCUACUCGCUUUUCCCCCCUGUAAUCCCCGAAAUAAAGCGGCGGAGGCACCAGACACCUGCGUGAAAUCGGAUGAUAUUUAGAGACGCACUUGCGCCAAGCAACUGAUCAACUUUUAUGAGCUUUCCAAGUCCCGAGCAUUAUUUAUUUUACAGAACAUAAAAUAUUAUGUAAUAUAUACGAUGUGUUUUAACGCAAGUAUGCACUUCGUAUCCAAUAUCCAAUAUACAUAUAUAUAAAUGUCAACAAACUGUAAUUAACUUCUCCAUUACAAUAUUGGAUAUAAUUAACAUAUUUUUCUUCUUAAUUUGUAAUGAGCAAUUUAUAAUAUUAUUAUUAUUUAGCAUUACCGAGUUCUGGAUAAUACAUGAAAAGAGAAAAAGAAAGAGGAAACUUCUGGCGUCAUGGAAGAUUACAGUAAUUCUCGCAACUAUUAAGUCGGCCGUUUCAUUUUAUUUAUCCAUUAAUGGCUGCUGAUCUUUCUUACGAAACACGCACGUCGAACACGUGUAGCUGGAAUCGCUCGUCCCAGCUGUGACUCGCGCGACUCGGUGUCACGAAUCGGGCCUCGUCGCUUCCUGUAUCUCUCGAGUGAGCCUAAACGCCGUGCGGACGAGCGUACGUGCUUACGUUACAUCAUUACGCAUUUGAAUGCUCGAGAAAUUAUGCCGCGAGCACAUGGGCACCAAGCAUCCAGCGUAGUCACGGCGUUCAUGGCACCGACAUGGCGCGCAUUCGUGCGCGCAAACCAGCCUCGAUCUCCGGGAUCUCUUUCACGGCUCUUGGAUCUGUCGGACACCGGCGCUUUCCAAGAGAAUCAAAGAUUCCUGGAUGCAUCCUGGUGCGGGAUAUGUGUGCGGGCGGCAUAAUUCCGAGUGCAACCGCGCCGAUGGGCAGACAGCAUAAAAUGACUUCGACUACCAUAGAUGUAUCCCGCAUUACACAGGAACGAAGGUGCGCGUACCAUCCCUAUUCCACUUUCCUCUCCCUUUCUCUUUUCAUUCGUUUCUGUCCACGCACGAACAUCACGCAUGUCCUAAACCACACGUGCAAGCGCGCACACACGCACAUAACACGCGCGGAUAACCGAUACGCGUUUGUAGUUGUAUCCAUCGUCGAGCCAAGAAAAAGAGAGACAGAAAGGAAUACAAUGGCAAAUGGUAUUCUAUUAUUCCAGAUGGGUCCCGCGAGCAUCUCUCCUUCGUUGCUCACGGGGUCCGAGGAAUGCAGGCAUGAAAUCAUUCUCCAAUAUCUCACCGUAGGACUACCCUCUCCCUUCGUCUCCCCGCGUCUGAUGGUCUCUCCGACCAUCGCCCGUAACCCAAAAGUAAACCCUAACCACCCGGCAUCCCCCGCGUCGCGCGAUACGCCCCUGUCUGCGCACCGGUCAUUCAUCACUCUCGUCUAAUAAUCCUCUUUGCUCGCCGAGGUAACAUUAAUUGUGGCACGAGAUGCAUCGCGCUGAAUGCGACGCGGACGCGCCCCGAACGAUGAUGAUCGAUAUCCCCCUCUUGCUUUUUUUCCCGCGGUUUUCACUUUAGCCCUGAUUAUGGUGGCUCGAUCGUUAUGUUGCUCUUGUCGUCCGUAGCGAUCACGUUUAACACUGAAUGGCGCUCGUCCGAGCCCUUGAACGGUCACUUUUACACUCGACAGUUUUAACGCCGCAUGGAGGAGUUUGAUAAAUUACGCCGAGUCGAGGCAGCGAGUAAACUUUCAGCCUAUCAACUUACGAUAAACAAUGAAUGAUGGUUACCGCGUUCUUUCGAAUUUACCAAAAUUUUUAAUGUACAAGUGCUGAUUAACUUGACCUACUUGUAAUUUGUUAAACUGCAGCAUUGCUUCACGGAUAUAUCAGGUAGUUCCACUUCGCGCGAAAUUAUCGGUACUCGACAAAUUAAGAUCGGUUUUGUUCCGUAAAGAAAUAAAUUUGGAACACAAGUGAAUAUUUGGCCGUCGGUGUCGGUAUUUUUGCCGUAUUUGAGAAUUAUGAUAGUCUGCCCCCGUGUAGAAAAAUUAAUAGGGUCUUAAAAAGUCCCGAUUAAUUUCCUCAAUAUUAAUAUGGCCCUAAAAUGGCAUGUAACAAAUAUUUUUUCGGGACCUUAUAAGGAAAUAAUAAAAAAUAUUGUUUUAAUCAUCUGUCCUAUCGGGCCACGAUGUGGCAAUGAUAGGGCAUCCCUUUUUAGGACAUCCCUAGUUAUUCCUUAUAGGGACCUUUACUUUCUUAUCAGGCCCUAACAAUUAUCUGCACGGGCCUUUUUAGGAAACGUCGCGCGGUUGGUGGUUUAUAUUUGAGAUCUUUCCUCGCUCUUUCCAUUUCUUUUGUUCGUGUCGUAAUUCGGAGGGAAUAAGAAAUUGCGGGCAAUGAUUCGGAACAGAAUCUAUUCCAAUUUCUGCGCCAACGUUUUUCCGCGAUCCAUCGUUUGUUUCCUCCGUUAUUCCCAACCCGAGAAACGUUCGCUCUCUGUAACGAAUGUUCAUCGCGCGUGGGGUGUGGAUUCGAUUUCCAUUAUUUCCGCGCCCUUCUGAAGUUUCCCAAAAAGAAACAGCGGAAAUUAAAAUGUUGCCGAUAUUACCAGGAAUUCCAACUAUCCCUUCAUUAUCACCCGUAUUUAUUCUAUGACGGGCAGGAAAUACGGGAACGCACACGGCAGAACAAUUUCUGCCUCUCGAGCCGUCCCUUCAAAAUAAAUUAUUAUUGCAAGGGGGAGUCUCGUUACGCAAACUCGCGUGAAAGAAACGUCAUCUCCGCGUUACGGAAAAUUGACAAUUUUUGUACGCGCACGUGAUUCAAUUUUCUUUUUACGAAUUCCAAUCAACACAAUCUAUCCUGAUCUAUUUUCGCAUACAUCCUUCGCGCGCGUGUAUUGCAUGACGUAAUAUGAUCCCGCCGAUAUCCAUACUCGCGUGAAUUCGACGCUCCAUUUGUUUACGGCCGAGCAUUCGAUUCUAUCCCGCCGUGGUACGUGAACGCGGAAUAUUAUUCCGUGCGCGUGACAGGUGCACAUCACACACGCGUUACGGAAGAGGCUCUCUUUCGCACGAGUCCCGAGCAGGAGCAGGCUCUACGCGCAAUUCCACCUGCUGCAAACGGCGGUUACGAGUCGCGUCUCGAGAAGCGCAAAUUUGCAGAUCGAUAUCCGAGAUGUUUAUCUUGACGUUUCCUACUAUCGAAAGAACUACUAAUAUUACUUUAAUAUUACUUUAGAGAGUAUUUUUCUUAGCUCCUUUGUAUUAUAGUAAAAUAAUUUAUAAUUCUUUAAUUAUUUUUCGUGUACAUUUCGACGGGGCGGCGGGAAUGUAUUAGUAGCUCUGAUGUAUUUCCUCGUUAUCCAUCAUAGAAUUUGUUCCGUCUUGUUUCGGAAUAUACGUUUCGGUGCUCACAAGGACCCUUUAUAAUAUCACUGCACGCCUCGUUUAAUACCAGGCACACGCGUUGCGUGAAGACAACGACUUCACGACGAUAAAUUAAACCAUAUGCGGCUUGGAAAUUGUAAUAGUGCAAGCCGCUUGUGACUAGGGCGCGCGACCCCUAUGGAAUGGCCCUCGUAUUUUGGAUGUUUGUUCGUGCGACGAGGAGGAGCAUACGGGCUGCUCGCCUAUUGUACUUCCGCGGACUUCAAUAUGAUUUAUUUCGACUACGUGUUCAAGUCGCACAUAAAUUUUUCUUUGACUAGUAACGAUUGCACUGACGUUAGCACGCGAUAGAAGCUGCCAAAAUCAAUUUAGACGUUAAAUAUUCAAAGCACAAUUUCACAUCAGCAAAUAGAAUGUUUUAUUCUUUUCUUGAAAAAAUACAUUUCACAUAUUCAUGCAAGAUAUUUUAACGUUUUAAAAAUUUUUCUUGGAAAGAAGAGAUCUGACGAAAAUGUAAAUAUUCGCCACAUCGCGUCUCUCCUAACAGUGUACUUUGCUCGGAAAUUUACUCUUUUAGCAAGAGUAUUAAACGAGGUCAGAGUUGAAAUAUACAUAUCCUUUUGAAAUUCGCUUUUCUGGCUAAUAAUAUUUUAACGAUGAAAGGCUUGAUAAAGAAGAAUUAACGUUCCUAUACACACAAGACAGCUCGUCGCGUAUCCACAUAGAAAAAAGGAUGGACUAUUUCGUAUUUUCAUUCUCACGUAAAAUCGUCAGAGAAUUUCAGAGAAUUAGCGCAUACGAUCGAUUCGUAGAAAGAUUCGAUUUCACAGAUAGUAAUCGGGAAUUCACACGCUCGCCCCGUGCUCAUGAUUUCAUAAAGAGCAACGAGUACGUACGGAGUUUAAUGUCACCAUCACCAUGACAUUCUUUUCACUCUUUACACGUACGUUCGCGACACGACUGCACGAUUGUACACACACUACUACGCGACUUAGCCUUAAUUAGCUUAGUCCGGCUUAAUGCACCGAGAUGCCCGAGCCUUUGUCUCUCUCUCAUGUACGUAUCUCUCUCGGUACACGCAUGCAUGGCCCGUACACGCGCGCAUGUACGUGUGCACCUAUCUACUGGCGCCGUAGUGGUGGCGUAAUGCUGCAUCGGCGGGCGUGUUGAACGUCGAACACUUUCGCCGACGUGGCGGCGUAUAUCGGUUAAUGCUUCGAUUUAUUGGCCGGCACUUAGCCCCCGCUGCUCCAGAUUCCUCGGUCAGAUCGGAUCGGAUCGGAUCGACGCGCGAUAUGAAUUAGUCUCGCGCGUUGAUCGCGAGCGCGAGUGCGCUCGAUCGCGGAUUAUUUCGCUCUUUAAUCGAGCCGCCGAUCGGCAAAGCUGUCUCGGUGUGCCCUCGGUCUCGCUGCGAAUCAACUCGUCGGGAAAUCCUUCGCCGUCCUCGAUAAAUACAUCGGUAUUUCGAUCGGUGACGUCGGAUUGCGCAUUAAGCCGAUGAGCUGUUCGCGAUAAAUCAUUUUCGCGAAGCAAUUAGCGGCGGAUCUGUUAUUACGUACUCGAGCGUUCCUAUGCCAGAUGCUCGAGGCAUAUGUGUCCCGACACGAGUUCGUCCCGGAGGAACGCAAUUUUCGAGCAACGAUUUCGACGUCGUAAAAGACACCGUACGUCACCUAAAAGCGCGUAGAACACCAACUGUCGGGCUUCCGCUUUUACCGGGCUAACACGUUUAUACGAGCGGAAUAGAGUCCUCUAUUUCUGACGCGACGUUUAAUCGUAACUGCAAUAAACCUGCCUAGACUCGUCGAAGAUGUUUUGUCAACGUUCCCUGACUUGCACUUUAUAAUUUAAUCAAUUUAGCGGUUUAUUUCAUAAGCGUAAAAAAAAGAAUUUCAAGGACGCGUCUAACAAAUCUAGAAAGUGGCGCUUUCGCGCAAUUAAGAUCCUUCUCGAUUCGAGACACGAUACACGAGGUAUACCGGUUAAAUCCGCGUGACCGAUGUGGUCUCGUUCUCCACGGGAACUUUAACGAGCGGUAAAAUUUCCUCAAGACCGCGUUAUAACUUGUAUACACGCUCGCGUUCUGUAAUCAUUACGGGCUAUCUCUGAGCAUUGCGCAAUUGCAAUCGCGUUGUGUAUUUGGUACAUGUAAAAUAGACGCAUUAAAACUGUUACACGCGAAUAUGGCUCCCCAUGAAUUUUACAUUGCUGACAGAAUGUUGAAAUUGGAGUCCAUUGUCUCGUGAAUUCUUUCGUGACGUUUACGACACGACGCCAAGCGGCGAGGGAGGAACCGGUUGCUUCCGCGACUGAUUUUUCGAGCUACGUUUACGAUGAAAUAAUGCGAGUCAUUUCGCGGACCACAGGCAAUCGCGUUCGAGUGACGUUAAAGGCGCUCCGAAACGAGACCCGGAUGAGAGACCCUCGCGUCUCGACCUUGCUCGUUACGUUGUGGCACGACGUCCAUCCAGUUAACGUUUGAAGAAGAGAGAGGGGACGCGCGGGGAGUCCGGGCAGCAGGGCGGUGCGCUUAAAUGUGGCGCUUGAUUGUCGCUCUUAAUGCCAAUAGGAAAUGACUCACUCCUUAACGCCGCAAUGAUAUCACUCUCCGCCCCGCGGUGUCGUGCGACCGAGAGCGAGCGAGCGCGCGCUGCAAGAUCAUGAUCCAAUCUAUACAGCAGAGGAUAGGAUUGCGAUCUGGGCCCCGCUCGUUAGAUUUACGAUGCUCUGGAGACACUGGAGGCAAGCAGAAGUACAGCGAGAAAGCGUGUCCCCGAAGAUCGCGGCUAUGUCGCAACGAGAUGAUGAGGUAAGAGAGCGAUUCCGGAGCAAAAGCGGUCGUAAAGGAACGCGGGAGGUGGCGCAGGAGAAGGAGAAGAAGGAAAGAACGAAAAGGAAGAAGUGGAUCUACAUAAGAGAUCAUGACUCGGGCGCACUAGUCGAGUUUCGCCGCGCGGAGAGCCAGAGAGGAGAAAGUUACCAGGAACUGCCUGAAUCUGCCCGAUUGGCAGCCUCCUUGCGCUCCUUUUCCACGGACUGGAGGUAUUGUAGUCACGAACGUGCAACCAUAGCAGCAACAAUAACCUCCCCCUCCCGGCGCACAACGAGCCUUUGUUCGCUCCUUCUCGCGGUGUGCGGGUGGUUUGUUCUACUCGCUCGAUACUUGCUCGGUACUUGCUGUAUUUUCAAUCCUCAUGAUUAUUUUAUUUUUGCUCUUCUUGGCGCGUACCGCGCGCGAAAUCCUUUUCUAGAAACUUCAUAAAAAUAUCAGUAUAAGCAUAUACAUCCGAGUAUGUACAUUUUAUCGAGCGCCUCCGAAUGACUCACGGAUAAUAAAAUAUCAAGAUAAAAUCAAUUUUUAAUAAUGUAGUGGAUAUCUUUUUCCGCGCCAGUUACCAUGAAAAUAUUUUAUUACACAUCAUUAAAAAUUCUCCAUGAAAAAAUUCUUUAUUUAAUUACAAUAUUAUAUAUUAUAUUAUUUUUAAUAUCAUAGAGAAAUUCAUUUUUCUUUGUUUGGCGAAAUAUAAAGACCCUCCGAUCUGUAUAUCGAAAUAUAACGUAGCGAAAUUUGAUUUUGAUUCAGUGUGAGUGUACAUUUACGUCAUCUUGUCAAUGCGAUUGCAUUAUUUUGCUCCGCUCUGACCUCUGACACAGUUUGAACUGCACUACGGCUUUAGUUCCUUGCCAUUAGUCGCAAUUAGUCCUCGCGAUGAAUUUUCUAUGAGCAAAUAAUCAGGCGCGCUUGUACACGUAACUCAGAGACGUCAUCGGGACAAUUAUAGUUUCAUGAUCGAGAAUCGACGAUGAUCGUCGAGUCCAAUGACCCGUUGAAACGACGAGAAGACUCGAUUACUGUUGAGAGUUUUCGAAACCGGCGGUCUAUUCUUAUGCUGAUUGUUGCUACCGAUUCCGAAGCGCCUAAUCGGCGGAUCGAACCGCGAUUCGUGGUGCUUUGGUUAAUGAACUACAGUCAUGUUACAAUCAAAUGCAAAUUGUCUUAAUUAAUGGCGAUCCACGAUUCAACCGUGACUCGUAACUGCGUUCGAGCAGCCGAUUGCUCUAUGAUUCGUUGGAUCAGAUACCAUUGCGAAAUUUUUCUAAUCGUUUCUGUUCCUGGGUUAAGAAUUAAAUAUCGAAUGCCAUGACGCACACAUGCGAAAAACAUGUCUCAUGCACACACUAAUCUCAAUCUUAAAACAAACUUGCUUUUGACCGAGUCGAGGAAAGUUAUCGUGAUCCAAUUUCCGCGGCCCGGAUUCCACACUGGAGAUUCGUUUCUUACGACUGUUCGCGUGUAACAAUAUCGAUAAUUAAUCGGUAAUGUCAUUUCGCCGAUUGUAAGUAACGCCUACUGUGCGGGAAAUGCGGGCCCGAUCGGACAGUUAUUAAUAAUUACACUUUCGAGACCAGUCAGAUCGGCAGAUACGUCCGGACGUACGGCUGAUUUGUCAAUACGCGGCGAGUAAUGCGUUUCGCCGCCGCAUGACCGAAGCCUGAUUACGAUAUUUGUUCGCCUGCGAACCAAUAAUGCCCACGCGAUAACGAGACGUUGAUUAUAUUGUUGUAUACGUCGGGCCUGAUUGACGUUACGUUAUCAUUGUAUGCAUCAAUACAGCAAAUUUAAUUUAACACAGACAUUACGUAUGUAACGUAAUAUUGUCUAGAUAUAAGGUGUCUUCUCGAUCUCAAUUUUGAGACCAAUCUUUUUUCUAAUUAAAAUCGAGCCACAAUUUAAGACGUAGCGUUCGCAAAUGGAAGAUUACAUUUUUCCGCACUCUAAGAUAUAAAAUUUUAUCUCGUUUUCCUUGGCGAAUAUCCUGCAUUAACAGUAGCGUAACUACGCGCGUGCAAGUGGUUAAUGUAACAAUAAAAAAUCGCGGGACAACUUGUUAAGGGAUACGCCUACGUUGUAGAAAACACUUGCGCCAAGAAUUCCACUUUCGCUGUCAGGCAGAUCAGGGGAUACACCGAGAUGUUAAUACAAUUGGUUUAUGCGUGUUGGUUAAAGCCGGGUGUGUAGUAGCCGAGAAAGCCAUAACUUCGAUAUUUAUAUUACGCUAGUGCGACCUAUAAUACUGCGACCAGAUAACCGGACUACACUCGAAACCAGUAAAGACGACGAGGACAGCCGAGAGCAUUUAAUAUAUCGUACGCUACUGUUGGAUUACUCCUUUUGGUACGACGCCGUAAAUUCUCGAAACUCUUUGGUAGUAAAGUAGAAAGCAGAACUAUCGCGUUUCCUCUCAACUAUAAAUUCUACACGACGAAUUAAAAAGGAUUCCUUCAACAUUGGGGCGUCAGAAAUUAUGAGCAUUUCGAGAUUAAAGAGCGCAACGAGUAAAAAGAUAAGAGCAGAUAAAACGAUCUUGCAUAAUGUAAACCGGGGACUUUCGCGCGCGAAUCGCUCCCCAAUUCGAGGUUUAGACAUCAAUAUAUUUAAUGCUGAAAAUUGAUUGAAACUCAAUGUUCGUAAUUGCUGUCUGUUAUUAAUUGUGCACGCGACAGUUAUUAAUUAUUAGGAUGUACCGAUGUGCACGCAUCGUUUAUCAGCACAUGACGAUUAAUUUGCCAUGCUGCAUGUAUACAUUUGAUACACGGUUUCUGCCAAUGUAAACUCGUAAUACUCUUAAAUGAUUGCCAGAUGCGCCGUUCGUCGUACUGGUAUUCAAUGGAACUUUAAGUACAUGCCUACGUAACACGUGAUGCGUUGCCGCAGGAUUAUCACAUCCGGCGACAUGUGAGCACCAACAUGGUUCCGAAAAGAAUGCGUUAAUCUGUUCAUGAUCAAAUAUUUACAUUAUCCGUAACUAUGCCACGAGCAGUAACUGAAGCAACAAAAAUUAAACGCAGAAUAACAUAAACGCACAAUCACAUAAAUUAAUUUGCUUAACCGUCGGAGUUACGUCAGAUGGAGAGUAUUCCAUUUAGCAAGCAAGUAUAGCAGAACAAACAUAAAUGGUUCGAAAGUAUUUCCAAGCUUUUCCAUGACAGUACGUUACGAGGCAGAUGGGAUAUCCUGCCAUGUGCUGGAUCUACGUCGACUCGUUCAGCGAUCACGAUUUUGAUCGUUUCAUCCAUUGUUACGUGGCCAGGUAUUAACCGGCGGCGUGCGUGCGUGUACAAGAUUAGUCAUUGAUUUCAAACAGUUAAACCUAUGGUUACGGGCGCCCGCACGACACGAAGAUUCCACGGCAUUGGGUUUAACUGUGAUUCGCGUAAUGACAUUUGAACGAGCUAGCGCGCGCUCUCGGCUAAAUCGCAUCUUCCGUUCCAGCGAAAGCUUACUCCGGCACUUACUUUUCUUCCACCUGAAAUGAUAUAAUAAUACGGCUGUCUGUCAAUACGCGAAACGUGUCCGUCGUGAAUCGCCGCUCCUUUCCCGCGUGCGACGUAACCCGCGCCGAACGAGCGAGCGGGUGGCACACCUAUUCGACGUAAGGACUCGCCUUCGCAUGGACACCUAGUCGAUAAUUACAUGUCUGCUUUUAAUAAUUCAGAUCGAUUUGACCUCGAACGUUCUCUCGUUCGUGGUAUUUCCAUUCUUUCGCACAUGGACGUUUUUCUGCUUCAAAUUAUCCCCUAUUCUUUCCUGGAGCUAUUCUGCAUCUUGUGUAUUCUUUUCUCUUGGAAUUUUUAAAAACCCGCUCAAGAUUUGGAGAGAGAUAAUUAUACUCGUAGUGUUCGCAUCGCAUCAUUUUUCAGCGAAUGUUGCACACGCACGGCGCACGCAUGAAGUGAACGCGGCUUGUUAGAGUCUUGAGAGACAUUAACCGUUUGCAGAUCAAGCGUUGCGAUCUUUAUUCAAUGCUUUAAUUAGAUUGAGUUAUUUCGCAACACGCAAUCGUAGCGUCGGUGGCGUCUCUGGUCCGAGACGAUCGCGCGAUACGCGCGAGUCGACGUCGGGAGAUCGCCGAGCCAGAAAAGAACGACUUUGUGCCACUGAUAUAAGAGAUAGGAGCAGCUUUGUCUCUGAUCGCUCGGGGUAACCCACGUGUCCCUUCCCACGUAGUCCACGAUCGUGGAUAAUUGUCAGUUUAACUAUCGCCUGCGCGCUCGGCUGUAUACACACGUUUCCGACGUCGGAAUAUCUUUUCACGCUCGUGCGUCGUGCGGCACGCAUGCAAUUAGAAAUUUCCUUUCACUGGCUCGUUGACACUAAUCACGCGGGCGUCUCCGUCCUUCCCUCCGUGUUUUUCUGCAUCCUUCUCUCUUUUUAUACCUUUCGUUCCUUCUGUCUCGCUCCCACACACCCGCGCUCGAUGGACACCGGUUGUCCGUUCCGUGCUUGUGUGUACGCGCGUACGUACGCAUGACAGAAACCGAUUGCUUUAACGAUCGCCGCUAAAUUCCAAUUACGCAACGUUCAAUUAUAUUUUCCCGUCGUACACAGCGCGCAAUUGGUUGACAAAUUUUCGCGCUCGGAUCCGGUGCAACUAAUUGGCGGCUGCGAUAAUUUGCAUAGUACCCGUUAAUUCUCGUUUAUUCUUUGCGAACAAGUUCUUAAACUCGAUUUCGCCCAUUUUCACUUGAGGCGAACGUUCACGCGGUGUAACCGCGUGAAAACUCUAUACAUAAAUUUAAAAUAUGUAUAUAUAUAAAUGUAAUGCUCGGCGAAACAAGGGCGAUCACGUAUGUAUGUAUAAAAAAAAGCGAUAAGGUUGACAAGGAUGACAAGGUGCCAUGAUACAUCCGCGGCGAUAUUUCGUUGCAUUACUAGCAGAAGCAAAGUUACAAAGUUGCAAAUUUGCCACAUUUUGCAAAACUGCACCCAUGUUCUCGCAUUCUUGUUUCUCUCUCUCUCUCUCUCUUUCUUUUAUAAUAACUCUAUAUUACUGAGAGUUCAGAGAGAAUUAUUCAUCUUUAAUAAUAGCCCGAAGCAUUCUCGGAAAAAAAACUUGUUUCUCCUGGUAGUAAUUCGCGCAGUCGAGUUGCAAUGUAUUCUCAAACCAAGUAAAAAGUUCAGAAGAUUGUAUGUUGGGCGUAUAUACAUGUGUAUGCUCCAAAGUCCACAGAGCAAUUCCUCUUCUUUGUUUGCUCUAAAUUAUUUUCUAAAAUUUUUUAAUAACAUGCUCCAGUACUCCCUUACAUAUAAUAAUCUUUUCAUUAUGUGUAUCAUCUAAAAGAUAGCAGCGAUAUCACAAGAGGGUGAACAUGGAAUCCUAUACGCCGCUACUGUAUAAUUACCACCAGGAAUUAAACGGAACUCCGCCAAGAGGAAAACAUACAAAGCAGUUUUCCGCGCAACGUAUAAUUUGCGCGCAACCACACGAGCAUAAUUACAUAUUUCUUUCAUCGAACGACAGUGCUCUUGCAAAUCAUUCGCGGCUAUUAAUGCCAAGUCCUUCUCUCAUUCCAUGCCCACCACGGGAAUAAAGUGGGAAUACCCAGUGGCACCAGUUUCGCGAAUACCGUUAAGCGGUCAUUUCCACUGCUCCGAGCAUCCGAGUGGCAGCCACCGUGUUAUUAGAAAUUCGGGAAGAAUUGCCUCACGUCUAAUAACCCCUCCCCGAGAAUGGUUCUCCAGAGGGAACCAGCUCGCUCGCUGCGAUUCGAAAACGCACAGCACGCCUCGUUGAUUCUCACGAACCGCUCGAGAGUGAUUCCGCUCUCUUUCUCUCUCUUUUUUCUUCGAGAGCUUUUUGCUACCCAUAAUAGACUUGCGAAUCCGUGGAUUUUCGUUCAUUCCCCGUGCCCCGUUCCGAGACAAACGAAACGGACGAAACGGGCGCGGGUAUAAAGGAAGAAACGAUCACAGUGGGGCACGCUCUAAUCACGGAGAAGGUCUAAUCGCGGUGGACCCGCGGGCAUGCAAUAGCAACGGGGCGAACGGAGGAAGGACGGAAGGAAGGAUAGAAGGGGGUGGUGGCCGCUGCAACGGCAGCAACAGGUAUCGGCCCGCGCAACGACCAUGGUAUCGAUGUCUCGGGGAUACCAGACCGGCCGACGAAAACGGCAUAGACGUAUAUUUUGACGACUGAAAAUCGCCGGCUACCCGUACAAGAGCCCCUGGGUGCCCCCCGGGUGUCGAUCGAGCGCCGCGCUCUUGCCGGCGCGACAUGCUCCGACCUCGACCGUUUCGUUUUCGUUUAAAGAUCGAGAUUAACGGCAACUCCAGAGAGGGGCUCUCUAUUAUUUCCUAGGAGAUUGACCGCGAGUAUAACCGCACGUUACGCUCGCCAGCUUCGUCGAUCUCGCUUUCGGUUUCGUUUCCGAUGCUCGCAGGUGCAUCCGAAAAUGUGGAUCGUUUCGACCGGCAUGCAUAGACUGACUGGCUUGUAUACGCGUCGGAUUCAAAUUACAAUCUAGAGCGACGCGGAACCGCGAAUUUUCUGUCGAUUCGCCAGAUGGUAAUGAGACGAAAUUAACGAGCCGUGAGUCUCGGCCAAGCGGCUUUUUUCGGUAGCUCUCUUUGGAGGAAUUCCGUGUCACUACCCCUCCUCCACCCUUAUGCGCUCUAACCGUCUCUCUAUUCGUCUACUAAUUUUACGGUGUGACUAUUAAGCAUGAUCCGCAGCACGCAUAUCUGACGAUCGACUCGCACACUCCGUUUUUUCUCGUCUGGGAUAUCGCGCGGUGCGCCAUAAUAACGCAAAUGGCAGGUUCCUCGUUUCAAACAGUCUCGACGUUAAAGUCAGGAUGCACAGGCGGCCACAUUCCAGAUGGAAAUCGCCGUUCCGGUGUUUCUCGUUUGUCAUGCUUCCUGUCUCGGUGCGCGAGUGCGUUAAGUGCACGUUAAGAACUUGGUAUUCUUCUGCAUUAUGUGGGAAUCCCCUCGAAUUAUGGACAAAGUAAAUUUUUAAUUCUCUCCCCCGUCACAACGCGAUACAUAUAAUUGUGGAUACACCAUCUUUGUUCGCGUCAAGUCGAGAUUAUAACGGAUUGUGAAGUGGUGAAUACAUAGGAGUAGAUGAAUGGAUGAUAGUUUAUGAAAUUAUAAUUUAAACCCACGAUGCAGCACUCUUGUGGCCUUUUGCUCCGAUCUACUAAAAUUAUUUUCAUGUACCGUAUAUAUUUAACGAGCAUUUAUGUAAUUCGAAACCGGAUUUCUCGCAUUUCUCAUUAAACGUGAGUUCUAAGCGCCGUUACAAUGUACAGUUAUUUAUCUUUAGCCAGACGUGUUCUUCUCAGAGAUAACAUCCGUAUAAAGAACGAAUUUUUCCAGGCAAGGGCAAUAAAUACCUCCUCAUCGCAAUCUCAUUCCCUUAGCUAUUAUGUCCAGUACCUUUGUUUCGGGUUGACUCUUUAGUAAGGUCAAUUAACCGUCGAUAGAUUUAAUUUGAUGCUAGAUUUUGUUGCAGUAAAAUCUAACGGUGCAUCCAUAUGAACGGAAAAAGCGAUAGAGAGAAGGUACGAAGAGAGCGAGAGCCGCAGCAUCAUGACGAAAGUAUGGAUUUGCGCCACAUCGAGGACAGGUCGCCGAUUUGCGGCGAUCCGCAUCGAUGAACGUUUGCAAGAAUAUGCGAGAAUUCGCUGCUACUUUCCUUCCUCGUUCCAAAGAGUUAUACGAUGAUUACAUGAAUGAUCUCGGAACCAAUCGCCGUUUCUGGAUCAACGAGUUUGCAAGGGAAUUUUCUUCGCCCUCUUCGUAAAAGAUUUAUUGCACUUUCUUCGCGAUCACUCGAAGAUUAUACAAAUAAGUAUUAAUUAUAAAAUAAAUGCUGUCUUAUAUAUUAAAAUAUUAAUUGAUCUCUAAAUUUCAUCUAAUUAUGAAGGAUAAGAAUUUAUUAGAAUACAAUCAGGUAAAAAUAUUUGAGAAAGAUAUAUUCACAGAUCAUAUAUAAAACUGAAAUUAUUACCGUAUGAUUUACGCUAAUAUUUACACUCUUCGAUAAAAGACACAGUUAAAGAUGUGAAAUACAUUCGUUUCGUUCUGAUAAGUCCGUCACAUCUUCGAUAUUAAACCGGAAGAUAUUACACAUCUAAUAUUAUCCGUUCCAUUUCACCUAGAAGACGUGUCUACGUUGAUAAAUGAGAGUUAUAAGUACGAUCGUAUAUCAGCAUUCGGAAAUUUUAUAUGAUAUCGCUGACGUCGUGUCUAUUUUCUUAUUAUGAGCUCGUGAAAGGAUUUAGAACGGAAAAGAUUUAUCCUCUUCCGCUUAUUCUUGAAAGCUUGUAUUCGUAUCGAUCUCUUUUUACAAAUAAUACAAAUCUCGCAAAUGUAACGUUACCAUGCAAAUCGUACAUGUAAAUUUGUAAAAUAAAAUUAAUUAAUUUCUUAUUAA